Molecule: long non-coding RNA, 1441 nt
Filed under: Homo sapiens (human)
Lineage: Eukaryota; Metazoa; Chordata; Mammalia; Primates; Hominidae
Description: HSALNT0375100
Source: RNAcentral
UUUUUCCGCCAGUCUUGGCGGAAGCCUGAGACGCAAUAGAUGGAGACUCUCCUUUUCGCCUUGGCGUACUCUUUUUUUUUUUUUCCUCCCUGGAGCUGGUCUUGUGGGGCAGCCCUAAAAUGUAUCUCCAAGUGACCCUGCACUCAUCACUUGCUGCCUUGGACUUAGUUUCCUCAUUCGUAGAAUGGAGACACCACACUUUCUGAAGUGCUUAUGAGACUUGCAGGAGGCCUAGGACCUAGGAGCACAUGAUGGGACGCGGUCAACAAAACAUUCAGAAUGAGCAAAUCAAUAUGGAACGUGUUGUCUGGCUUUUCUUGGCAGCAUGGGUUCUUUGAAGAGUUUUAAAGAGAAUUCACAAUUACUGAAUAUUACAUAAUUUGAAGAUGAGUAAACUGCUUUCAUCACUGCUCUGGCAAUAAAAUCUGGAAAUCUGGAGAACUCUAGCUUCUAAAAACUAUCUUAUGAUCCAAUUCAGAAUGUGUAGUUCUGCACACAUCGUACAUUUCUUUUUCCUAAGCCAAAUGAUCAUCAAUUCAUCUAAAACCAUUGUCAGGAGGCCCUAUGCUAUGCAAGACUAAUUGUGAGUGUGACUGUAUGCAAAAACAAACAAACAAACAAGGGAAAAAAAGCUUGUUAAAAAGGGAAUUCUUUACUCAAGAGGCAGGAAAAAAAUACCUCCUGACUAGGGAAAGCACAUAUUGAUAGUUCCAGCAGCAACAAACCUGGAGAUCUCUGUCAUUUCUGUUCAAGUGCAUGAAAAGCAAGGCAGCAAAAGCUGUUGGUGCUGUGAGCAUAGAAGGCUAAGGACAUACUUCCCAGCAACUUGCUCGGACUGGACGGUGACUGGAGCUGAUUCCUGAGAUGGGAGUGUGAGCUUGGCAGGCUUUGACAUGGAGCCAGGCCAAAGUGGGAGGCCAAAUUUACAGUGUCAAAUAAACCAUGACUUAGGCGAGAUUUUGUUCAAAAGUAUCAUUGGAAGGGGUUGGAUGGUGGUGGGGUGUGGGGAGACUAUUGUAAUAAAUAGAACACUCUACACAUGAGAUCUGCAGGCAUCUCAAGAGUUAGGCAAAAAGUGGUUUUGUUUUAUAGGAGGAAUAAACAAGGAAGUGAUGUGAGGAAGUGGAUGAAGGGGUCCCAAAAGUGGGUAGUGGAUCAGGGAACAUUCUUCUGGAGGCCAGCCUGUUCUUAGGAGUGAGUGAAGACCAGCUCAGGCUGAUGGUGGGCCAAGGUUCUGGGACCUGGGGAAAGGACAGAAACUUAACCAAAGUUCAAUAAAUAAGAAUUUUGUUUCCAUUAAUUUCAGGGGAAAAAAUAGUUCAGCUAAUCUAUGAGGCAAAGAAUAGGAAUUUGGAAGGCCCAGUCUGGCCUGUCAUAAGUAAACAGGGGCAGGGGUGGGGUGAUAUGGUUAAGCUUUGUGUCCCCACCCAAAUCUCACCUU